Long non-coding RNA from Python bivittatus (Burmese python), 645 nucleotides. RefSeq lists it as uncharacterized. Lineage: Eukaryota; Metazoa; Chordata; Lepidosauria; Squamata; Pythonidae. The record is from RefSeq and is a predicted model, not a curated record.
UUACGAGCGAUGGCACGACCAGCUCCAGGAUUUUAGGAAGUCUUUUCCCGCUCCUAAAAGGCUCUUGGAUUUAAGAGAGGAAUUCCCAUGCAUCCAAACUGCCCUGAUGGAUCCAACCAAAGAAAGAAGGAAGCAUGGCACCUUUUGAAUAACGCCUAAAUGCUGCUGAAAGAGACCAUGCUAAGAAGCUGGUGCUGAGCAUCAUUUAAUACCGCCUACUUCAGAACAUGGGUUACCAGGAUCUACAUGAAGUCAUAAAGGACCUAUUCUCCAAGAAGAAACUGAAGAGAUCAGCAAACACAGCCAGUUCCAGAACAGGAAUCUUAACGUCACACCCAUUAGCUGGUGCCAUCAGUGCAUGCUCAUCUAUCUGAACCCCAAAAUAGUUUUUAAAAAAUGGCAAGAAAAGCAAUAUAGAUAAGGUCCUCCAGAUAUACAAUCAUCUGUAUAAAUCUACCACAUUCACCAGCAUCCAGUACAAGGCCUUGAUGGCAUAUGCAAUGACAGAAAUUAUGUAAUUUGAGGGAUGACAUCAUGACACCUUUGACACAAACCACAUCAUUUUUGUCAUUUGUGUGAUGACAUCAUGAUCCAUGUGACGUUGCUCCCUCCCCCCAUGCCUGUAUCACAUUUUUGUCCAAGUAA